GUGAGGAAUAUUGGUCAAUGGGCGCAAGCCUGAACCAGCCAUGCCGCGUGCAGGAUUGAAGGCCCUAUGGGUUGUAAACUGCUUUUGUAUGGGAAGAAACCCCCGGACGUGUCCGGGGUUGACGGUACUGUAUGAAUAAGCAUCGGCUAACUCCGUGCCAGCAGCCGCGGUAAUACGGAGGAUGCAAGCGUUAUCCGGAUUCAUUAGGUUUAAAGGGUGUGUAGGCGGGGUAAUAAGUCAGUGGUGAAAUCCUGCGGCUCAACCGUAGAACUGCCAUUGAAACUGUUAUUCUUGAGUACAAUUGAGGUGGGCGGAAUGUGUGGUGUAGCGGUGAAAUGCUUAGAUAUCACACAGAACACCGAUUGCGAAGGCAGCUCACUAAACUGUUACUGACGCUGAGGCACGAAAGCGUGGGGAUCAAACAGGAUUAGAUACCCCGGUAGUCC
This 446-nucleotide ribosomal RNA is filed under the name uncultured bacterium. Its description in RNAcentral is "bacterial SSU rRNA". It matches the Rfam family "Bacterial small subunit ribosomal RNA", at positions 354 to 796 of the family's 1533-position model. The record is from RNAcentral.